CUUUCUUUGCUGGCGACCGGCGUACGGGUGAGUAACACGUAUCCAACCUGCCCUUUACUCGGGGAUAGCCUUUCGAAAGAAAGAUUAAUACCCGAUAGCAUAAUGAUUCCGCAUGGUUUCAUUAUUAAAGGAUUCCGGCAAAGGAUGGGGAUGCGUUCCAUUAGGUUGUUGGUGAGGUAACGGCCCACCAAGCCUUCGAUGGAUAGGGGUUCUGAGAGGAAGGUCCCCCACAUUGGAACUGAGACACGGUCCAA
RNAcentral lists this ribosomal RNA (254 nucleotides) under uncultured bacterium. Its description in RNAcentral is "partial 16S ribosomal RNA". It matches the Rfam family "Bacterial small subunit ribosomal RNA", at positions 79 to 334 of the family's 1533-position model. The record is from RNAcentral.